AUUGAACGCUGGCGGCAUGCCUAACACAUGCAAGUCGAACGGCAGCACAGCAUGUAGCAAUACAUGUGGGUGGCGAGUGGCGGACGGGUGAGUAACGCGUGGGAAUCUGCCCUAUAGUGGGGGACAACCCGACGAAAGUCGGGCUAAUACCGCAUACGCCCUAAGGGGGAAAGGCUUCGGCCGCUAUUGGAUGAGCCCGCGUCGGAUUAGCUAGUUGGUGAGGUAAUGGCUCACCAAGGCGACGAUCCGUAGCUGGUCUGAGAGGACGAUCAGCCACACUGGGACUGAGACACGGCCCAGACUCCUACGGGAGGCAGCAGUGGGGAAUAUUGCACAAUGGGCGAAAGCCUGAUGCAGCAAUGCCGCGUGUGUGAAGAAGGCCUGCGGGUUGUAAAGCACUUUCGGUAGGGAAGAUUAUGACGGUACCUACAGAAGAAGCACCGGCUAACUCCGUG
RNAcentral lists this ribosomal RNA (455 nucleotides) under uncultured organism. RNAcentral describes it as "bacterial SSU rRNA". It matches the Rfam family "Bacterial small subunit ribosomal RNA", at positions 29 to 507 of the family's 1533-position model. The record is from RNAcentral.